UACGUAGGUGGCAAGCGUGGUCCGGAUUUACUGGGCGUAAAGAGCGCGCAGGCGGUCGUUCAAGUCGCGUGUGAAAGCCCCCGGCUCAACUGGGGAGGGUCACGCGAUACUGAUCGACUCGAAGGCAGGAGAGGGUAGUGGAAUUCCCGGUGUAGUGGUGAAAUGCGUAGAUAUCGGGAGGAACACCAGUGGCGAAGGCGACUACCUGGCCUGUUCUUGACGCUGAGGCGCGAAAGCUAGGGGAGCAAACGGG
Molecule: ribosomal RNA, 253 nt
Filed under: uncultured bacterium
Lineage: Bacteria
Description: partial 16S ribosomal RNA
Rfam family: Bacterial small subunit ribosomal RNA
Source: RNAcentral